UACAGAGGGUGCAAGCGUUGUUCGGAAUUAUUGGGCGUAAAGGGCGCGUAGGCGGUGCCACAAGUCACCUGUGAAAUCUCCGGGCUUAACUCGGAGCCUGCAGGCGAAACUGUGGUGCUGGAGUGUGGGAGAGGGAAGUGGAAUUUCAGGUGUAGCGGUGAAAUGCGUAGAUAUCUGAAGGAACAUCAGUGGCGAAAGCGACUUCCUGGACCAAUACUGACGCUCAUGUGCGAAAGCGUGGGGAGCAAACAGG
This 253-nucleotide ribosomal RNA is filed under the name uncultured bacterium. Its description in RNAcentral is "partial 16S ribosomal RNA". It matches the Rfam family "Bacterial small subunit ribosomal RNA", at positions 524 to 776 of the family's 1533-position model. The record is from RNAcentral.